RNAcentral lists this transfer RNA (812 nucleotides) under Centruroides sculpturatus (bark scorpion). RNAcentral describes it as "uncharacterized LOC111630081, transcript variant X1". Lineage: Eukaryota; Metazoa; Arthropoda; Arachnida; Scorpiones; Buthidae. The record is from RNAcentral.
AAAAUUGUUCAAUUCUAUUGUUAGUGUUGCAUUGUUGAUAACAUUCGAUUCACAAGUCGAGAAUUAAUACAGUAUCGGCUAGAAGCUACAAAUUUUCUGUUGUUUGUGGCUUCUUUCGGAUUAGGAAAUCUCCAUGGGACCCAAGGAGAAAAGGACGCACUUCAUUCAAUGUACAGGUGCCCUUGCUUUUUACCUUGAAGAUAGGCACGAAAAAAACGUAACUUAGCAAACAGAAAAGAAAGAACGUUUGGGAAUAUAUUGAAACACCACUUCCUUUAAUGAAGUUAACUUAAAUUUUAUGAAAAUUUUUGUCAAAGAACUUGUGACGUUACGUUUCAAAGGGAUAAAAAGUAUGAUAUUGCCAUACAAUUGAUAGGAAACUUGUCUUUAAGUAAAGAUAAGAAACAUUUAGAACGAAUUCAUACAAUCCGCAUAUUAAGCGGAAAUUAUGUGAAAGAUAAGGAAGAAUAAUAAAAAGGCUCAGCAGGGGUUCGAACCCUGGAUCUUCGGUUUACAAGACCGACGCCGUACCACUUGGCCACUGAGCCACUCUGUUAUUAAUUCGGAAAAGUAAAUAUUAUAACAAAAUUUGUUUUCGUUUCCUUGUUUUUGGUUCCUUUGAAGUUAACAUAGCAUUCAAUACUGUAAAACGAUUUACGUAUGACUCAUCUCAGCCACCUGCAUAAGAAUGCGUUCUCAGAGGAAGCGGCAUAAACUAAAUCAGCGCAAAAUUAAUCCAUUAUACUUGUCAGCAUUAUAUAGUACUGUAUCAUGAAGCGAAGAGAUGCCUUCCAGGUCGUUCAAAAAUUUAU